This 540-nucleotide long non-coding RNA is filed under the name Zea mays. RNAcentral describes it as "long non-coding RNA (ZMAY_LNC003464)". Lineage: Eukaryota; Viridiplantae; Streptophyta; Magnoliopsida; Poales; Poaceae. The record is from RNAcentral.
ACCCAAAAAAAGGUUGUCGUUCGGACGAUCUGUUAUUCCGCCAAAGACACCAGAAAACAUCUUCUUGUUUUACAACAACACACGGGGAGCACGAAGAGACGACGCCAACGCGACGACAGACGCACACGACAAGCGCGGCCACGCACGCACAGGCAUGGCCACGGAUGCCAACCACACAAACGACCGCCGCCGGAAAGCCUACAGCAGCGGACGACUAAGAAAAACAACAUGGGACACACUAAGUUGACGAAUUUGCCUACUUGUACUUGAUGGCAGCUCUAGCGAUGGCACUGCAGUAAGCCUUCGUCUCUGUGCCCAAAUGAUCUCUCUUCCCGUCUAAAAGACUGACGACUAACGAUUAGAUAGGUUGACGGAGACUUUGGGGCGAGUACCGUCUCCUCCUCCUGGUUCCUGCUCCCAUUCCUAUGGUAGCGUCCUCUCAGCUCUGCGAGCGGCGGCGGCUAGAACUUCUUGUUGUACCAGAAGACGCCCUUGCGGUCCUCGGGCUCGACGUAGAUGCACUCCCUGGCCUCGCGCCAG